AGCCCUGAGGUGCAUGUAGCAUGUCGGAUUGCAAAUCCGAAGGCGCAGACUAGUCGUCUGCUGGGGCUU
This 69-nucleotide transfer RNA is filed under the name Datnioides polota (four-banded tigerfish). RNAcentral's name for it is "tRNA-Cys". It matches the Rfam family "tRNA". From Rfam's summary of the family: Transfer RNA (tRNA) molecules are approximately 80 nucleotides in length. Their secondary structure includes four short double-helical elements and three loops (D, anti-codon, and T loops). Lineage: Eukaryota; Metazoa; Chordata; Actinopteri; Lobotiformes; Datnioididae. RNAcentral also lists the same sequence under 2 other names. The record is from RNAcentral.